AGAGCAAUCAGUUGUCGGAUUCGGAGCGAAUGGACUUGUUUGUCAGGAUCCUGCAGGGGAGAUAUUCAGCCAAGGCUCUGGGCAACGGUGACCCCUUCGGCGUGGAGCCUGUGAUGCCGCCGG
RNAcentral lists this non-coding RNA (123 nucleotides) under Scrippsiella trochoidea. Lineage: Eukaryota; Dinophyceae; Peridiniales; Peridiniaceae. The record is from RNAcentral.